CUUAUAUGAUCUGAAAUUUUGAAAUUUUUGUGGUUGGUAUGCCUGCCGAGUCGACUCGAUAUUUUGUUAGAGAUGGGCUACAUAGCCUUAGGCAGUCCUACAUCAAGCAUUUUGAUUUUCAGUCACCAUCAGACCAGAGAUCCUAUCAGGAUCACUGGAUGUGGGUUGAUGUAUGGAAGGCCUUCUAUGACUAAUGGAGUAACAAAGAGUACUCCAGUAGGUGGCAGAGGGCCUGACAGAAUUGGACCGUCCAG
RNAcentral lists this long non-coding RNA (254 nucleotides) under Elaeis guineensis (African oil palm). RNAcentral describes it as "long non-coding RNA (EGUI_LNC001109)". The record is from RNAcentral. Lineage: Eukaryota; Viridiplantae; Streptophyta; Magnoliopsida; Arecales; Arecaceae.